CCACAUUAGUACACCACUCCAAGGUAUUAGGUUGCUUCCACAGGCGCUUUCGUAAUUGGUGCUACUACGUCAUCAUUGGAGCUAAGCUCAUUGAUCGAUGUUAAUUCAGAAGCUGGCAAUUGAGACUCCCCAUGAUAGUGUACACGUUACAUUUCUAACACCAUUUUAUCUCUGCCCUUGCCAAUUAUCAAAGUACUCCAACCCCAAUUGUUCUUGACCUUUGCUUGAUAAAGCCAGGGUUGUCUCAAUAAAAUUUGAUACGAUAAAGUCAAACUUUGUAACCGAAAGAUAAUGUAGUUGAUUUCAUACACAAUAUCGAUAAUUAUAUUAAUUAAUUUAAUUCUAGUUAAAACCCUAUUGAAUUUCACUCAAACUUUAGACCAAAUCUAAUUAAAUCUUAAACCCUAAUAAAUCCUAAAUCUUAAGUCAAAUCCUAAACAAAUCUUAAAUUAAACACUAAAUCAAACCCUAUUUCAAACCCUAAAUCCUAAACCAAACCCUAAAUCAAAUCCUAAACUAAAUCCUAAAUCCUAAUUCAAACUCUAAUUCAACCCUAAAUCCUAAUCUAAAUCCUAAAUUCUAAACCAAACCUUAAAUCAAACCUUAACCAAAUCCUAAUCCAAAUCCUAAAUCAAAUCCUAAUCAAAUCCUAAAUCCUAAUCCAAAUCCUAAAUCGAAUCCUAACCAAAUCCUAAACCCUAACCCAAACCCUAAUCCAAUCCUAAAUCCUAACCAAAACCUGAACCCUAA
RNAcentral lists this long non-coding RNA (750 nucleotides) under Physcomitrium patens. RNAcentral describes it as "long non-coding RNA (PPAT_LNC013800)". Lineage: Eukaryota; Viridiplantae; Streptophyta; Bryopsida; Funariales; Funariaceae. The record is from RNAcentral.